This 387-nucleotide ribosomal RNA is filed under the name Sitodiplosis mosellana (orange wheat blossom midge). Its description in RNAcentral is "partial 12S ribosomal RNA". The record is from RNAcentral. Lineage: Eukaryota; Metazoa; Arthropoda; Insecta; Diptera; Cecidomyiidae.
AAACUAGGAUUAGAUACCCUUUUAUUAAUAAUUUUUUUUUAAUUAUUAUUUUUAAUAAAAAAAUUAAAUAAAUUGGCAGUAUUUUUUAAAAUUAGAGGAUUUUGUUUAUUAAUAGAUAAUACACAAUAAAAUUUAUUUAUAUUAUAUUAAAUUGUAUAUUGUUGUCAAAAAAUUAUUUUUAAAAAAUAUUAUUUUAAUAUUUUUUUAAAUAUUAUGUCAAAUCAUAAUUCAUUAUAUAUAUAUAAUUAAAAUGAGAUACAUUAAUAUUAAUUUAUUGGUUUAAAUUUUGUAAUUAAUUUAAUAAAGUGGAUUUAAAAUUAAAUUUUAAUAAAUUUUAUUUUUGAAUUAAUUUUAAAAAUAUGUACAUAUUGCCCGUCGUUUUUAAUU